UGGGGAAUCUUGGACAAUGGGGGCAACCCUGAUCCAGCCAUGCCGCGUGAGUGAUGAAGGCCUUAGGGUCGUAAAGCUCUUUCGCCUGUGAAGAUAAUGACGGUAGCAGGUAAAGAAACCCCGGCUAACUCCGUGCCAGCAGCCGCGGUAAUACGGAGGGGGUUAGCGUUGUUCGGAAUUACUGGGCGUAAAGCGCACGUAGGCGGACCAGAAAGUUGGGGGUGAAAUCCCGGGGGCUCAACCCCGGAACUGCCUCCAAAACUAUUGGUCUAGAGUUCGAGAGAGGUGAGUGGAAUUCCAAGUGUAGAGGUGAAAUUCGUAGAUAUUUGGAGGAACACCAGUGGCGAAGGCGGCUCACUGGCUCGAUACUGACGCUGAGGUGCGAAAGUGUGGGGAGCAAACAGGAUUAGAUACCCUGGGUAGUCCACACCGUAAAACGAUGAAUGCCAGUCGUCGGGUAGCAUGCUAUUCGGUGACACACC
Molecule: ribosomal RNA, 482 nt
Filed under: uncultured bacterium
Lineage: Bacteria
Description: bacterial SSU rRNA
Rfam family: Bacterial small subunit ribosomal RNA
Source: RNAcentral